AGAGAGAGAGAAGAGACAGAGAGAGAGAGACAGAGACAGAGAGAGAAGAGACAGAGAGAGAGAGGGACAGAGAGAGAGAGGGAGAGAGAGAAGAGAGAAGAGAGAGAGAGAGAGAGAGAGAGAGAGAAGAGAGAAGAGAGAGACUAACGAUGAGCCCGAAAUGACACCAUAUUCCCUCCAUCUUUGACCAGAGCCCUAUGGGGCCGCAUGGUCAAAGGUAGUGCACUAUGUAGGGAAUAACGUGCCAUUUAGGACAGAGAAAGUGAAGGGGACACAUGCAACUUCUCUCCCCAAUAAAAUACGUUCAUGACGGUUUUAUACAGCAUUAGCUGGGGCUGAAAUCAUGGAAAGAUACAGUAGAGCUGAGAGGAAGACAUCCAUCAUCUAGAGGUUAAAGAUAAUGUAGAGCUGAGAGGAGAACAUCCAUUAUCUAGAGGUUAAAGAUAAUGUAGAGCUGAGAGGAGAACAUCUAUCAUCUAGAGGUUAAAGAUAAUGUAGAGCUGAGAGGAAAACAUCCAUCAUCUAGAGGUUAAAGAUAAUGUAGCGCUGAGAGGAGAACAUCUAUCUUUUAGAGGUUAAAGAUAAUGUAGAGCUGAGAGGACAUCCAUCAUCUAGAGGUUAAAGAUAAUGUAGAGCUGAGAGGAGAACACCCAUCAUCUAGAGGUUAAAGAUAAUGUAGAGCUGAGAGGAGAACAUCUAUCAUCUAGAGGUUAAAGAUAAUGUAGAGCUGAGAGGAAAACAUCCAUCAUCUAGAGGUUAAAGAUAAUGUAGAGCUGAGAGGAAAAUAUCCAUCAUCUAGAGGUUAAAGAUAAUGUAGAGCUGAGAUGAAAACAUCCAUCAUCUAGAGGUUAAAGAUAAUGUAGCGCUGAGAGGAGGACAUCCAUUAUCUAGAGGUUAAAGAUAAUGUAGGGCUGAGAGGAAAACAUCCAUCAUCUAGAGGUUAAAGAUAAUGUAGAGCUGAGAUGAAAACAUCUGUCAUCUAGAGGUUAAAGAUAAUGUAGCGCUCAGAGGAGAACAUCUAUCUUCUACAGGUUAAAGAUAAUGUAGGGCUGAGAGGAGAACAUCCAUUAUCUAGAAGAAAUGAAGUAUUUGAUUUGCUCUACUCUAAUGAAGAGCAACAGAGAGAGAGGAGAAGAUCCUCCCCAGCAGGUGGCUAGGCUAAAGGGACGUCAUACCACUACAAUAGAGGCCCGGGGCAUUUGGGAUGCAGAGCCUCUGCUGACAUCACCCUGACCAAAGAUAGACCUCACUGCUUCAGUGGAAGGCCGUCAGAAUAUAAACUUUCUAGACCCUACAUGGGAUUCUGUCCACCUGACCUUUAACCUUUAACUAGAGUUGUUAAUUUCCAUGAACUUUAAUCAAAUUCUCCAGGCGCCCUGGUCAAAAGUAGUGCACUAUGUAGGGAAUCGG
Oncorhynchus tshawytscha (Chinook salmon) is the source of this 1410-nucleotide long non-coding RNA. The record is from Ensembl. Lineage: Eukaryota; Metazoa; Chordata; Actinopteri; Salmoniformes; Salmonidae.